Molecule: ribosomal RNA, 253 nt
Filed under: uncultured bacterium
Lineage: Bacteria
Description: partial 16S ribosomal RNA
Rfam family: Bacterial small subunit ribosomal RNA
Source: RNAcentral
UACAGAGGUCCCAAGCGUUGUUCGGAUUCAUUGGGCGUAAAGGGUGUGUAGGUGGCGCCGUAAGUCGGGUGUGAAAUCUCGGAGCUUAACUCCGAAACUGCAUUCGAUACUGCCGUGCUUGAGGACUGGAGAGGAGACUGGAAUUUACGGUGUAGCGGUGAAAUGCGUAGAUAUUCGCAAGAACACCAGUGGCGAAGGCGGCUCACUGGCCCGAUACUGACGCUGAGGCACGAAAGCGUGGGGAGCAAACAGG